CCUCCUGAAAACCACUCGCCCCACAAGCAUUCCAGCCUGAAGGUUCGUCCUGUUUACUUCACUGAAGAAGAAGGAGAAGGAAAGGAGGAAGAGGAGAAGAGGAAGAGGAGAAGGAGAAGAGGAAGAGGAGAAGGAAAAGAGGAGAAUGCUGCUCUCCAGGUUUUUCUGCCGUUUCAAAUCUCCAGGACUCAGAAUCUUCUCCGCCGGUCCGGUCUGGUCCGCUGGUCUCGGGUCCGGCUUCAGCAGUCAGCCCCCAUCCAGAGGUAACCAUGAUGCAUUUGUCCGCUACAGUUUCGGUCGCCCCGUCCUCUCUCUCUCUCUCCCUGCCGGUCAGCAGUGUCGCUUCACCGUGACGCCCAUGUUGACCACGGUGGGUGACCUGCUGCGUGACAUCACAGCCAAGGACCCCGGGGUGCACACGGCCACCCUGCUCACCGGAGGCGGACAGAGGGUCUCUUCGUGCACCUUCAUGGAAACCGUGUUGAACGAAGACUUCCAGCUCGUCAUCAACGGCGUCACGCACAGCGUGCGCUCUCUCGGACAAGGCUCGUCUCACGAACACGUGCAGGGCGUGGACGACGUGAAGUACGUGGUGCGCCUCCUGCAGGCGGCGCUGGCGCCGCCCCAGAGGCAGCACGCCGCGCACGGCGAGCUGCUAGCGGCGCGCGAGCGGCUAGCGGCGCAGCUGCAGCCGCUGGAGGCGGUGAGCGUCAAGAUGGCGCAGGAGGCGGAGUCUAGAGCAUCACUUCUGGGGUGGGGGGGGCUGGCCUACCUGUCCCUGCAGGGAGGAUUCCUGGGUUACCUCACCUGGUAUGUGUUUGCGUGGGACGUCAUGGAGCCCAUCACCUUCUUCAUCUCCCUCACCACCAGCAUGAUCUUCUUCAGCUACUACGUCCUCACCAAGCAGGUCCUGAAGGACCCACGAGACCACAAGGACCCACGAGACCACAAGGACCCACGAGACCACAAGGACCCACUAGACCAGAAGGACCCACUAGACCAGAAGGACCCACUAGACCAGAAGGACCCACGAGACCAGAAGGACCCACGAGACCAGAAGGACCCACUAGACCAGAAGGACCCACGAGACCAGAAGGACCCACUAGACCACAAGGACCCACGAGACCAGAAGGACCCACUAGACCAGAAGGACCCACUAGACCAGAAGGACCCACGAGACCACAAGGACCCACUAGACCAGAAGGACCCACUAGACCAGAAGGACCCACGAGACCACAAGGACCCACUAGACCACAAGGACCCACUAGACCAGAAGGACCCACUAGACCAGAAGGACCCACGAGACCACAAGGACCCACUAGACCAGAAGGACCCACGAGACCACAAGGACCCACUAGACCACAAGGACCCACUAGACCAGAAGGACCCAUGAGACCACAAGGACCCACGAGACCACAAGGACCCACGAGACCAGAAGGACCCACGAGACCAGAAGGACCCACGAGACCACAAGGACCCACGAGACCAGAAGGACCCACUAGACCAGAAGGACCCACUAGACCAGAAGGACCCACGAGACCAGAAGGACCCACUAGACCACAAGGACCCACGAGACCAGAAGGACCCACUAGACCACAAGGACCCACUAGACCAGAAGGACCCACGAGACCACAAGGAUCCACGAGACCAGAAGGACCCACUAGACCAGAAGGACCCACUAGACCAGAAGGACCCACUAGACCAGAAGGACCCACGAGACCAGAAGGACCCACUAGACCAGAAGGACCCACGAGACCAGAAGGACCCACUAGACCACAAGGACCCACUAGACCAGAAGGACCCACGAGACCACAAGGAUCCACGAGACCAGAAGGACCCACUAGACCAGAAGGACCCACUAGACCAGAAGGACCCACGAGACCAGAAGGACCCACUAGACCAGAAGGACCCACUAGACCAGAAGGACCCACUCGGAGUUAAUCUAUCCAGAUGUGCGAGACCGUCAGUUCCUCCACUUCUUCCACCAGGGGGCGACGCAACAGAAGUUCAAUGUAAAC
Molecule: RNA transcript, 2018 nt
Organism: Pseudoliparis swirei
Lineage: Eukaryota; Metazoa; Chordata; Actinopteri; Perciformes; Liparidae
Gene name: calcium uniporter regulatory subunit MCUb, mitochondrial-like
Exons: 8
Source: RefSeq, a predicted model, not a curated record